CCAAUAGCGUAUAUUAAAGUUGUUGCAGUUAAAAAGCUCGUAGUUGAACUUCGGGGUCUACCCAUUGGUCAGGCUUAAUUGUCUGCACUGGUGAGAUGGAUCUCUACCUUCUGAGGAACUUUCAUGCCAUUUAUUUGGUGUGGUUGGAAAUCAGGACUGUUACUUUGAAAAAAUUAGAGUGUUUAAAGCAGACUAUCGUCUGAAUACAUUAGCAUGGAAUAAUGAAAUAGGACGGACUGAUUCUAUUUCGUUGGUUUCUAGGAUCACCGUAAUGAUUAAUAGGGAUAGUUGUGGGCAUUAGUAUUCAAUUGUCAGAGGUGAAAUUCUUGGAUUUAUUGAAGACUAACUACUGCGAAAGCAUUUGCCAAGGAUGUUUUCAUUAAUCAAGAACGAAAGUUAGGGGAUCGAAGACGAUCAGAUACCGUCGUAGUCUUAACCAUAAACUAUGCCGACUAGGGAUCGGACGAAGUUAAUUUUAUAAUGACGCGUUCGGCACCUUACG
Molecule: ribosomal RNA, 502 nt
Filed under: uncultured Glomeromycotina
Lineage: Eukaryota; Fungi; Glomeromycota
Also listed under: 1 other name
Description: partial small subunit ribosomal RNA
Rfam family: Eukaryotic small subunit ribosomal RNA
Source: RNAcentral